AGCGAACGCUGGCGGCAGGCCUAACACAUGCAAGUCGAACGAACCUUUCGGGGUUAGUGGCGGACGGGUGAGUAACACGUGGGAACGUGCCUUUAGGUUCGGAAUAACUCAGGGAAACUUGUGCUAAUACCGAAUGUGCCCUUCGGGGGAAAGAUUUAUCGCCUUUAGAGCGGCCCGCGUCUGAUUAGCUAGUUGGUUGAGGUAAUGGCUCACCAAGGCGACGAUCAGUAGCUGGUCUGAGAGUAUGAUCAGCCACAUUGGGACUGAGACACGGCCCAAACUCCUACGGGAGGCAGCAGUGGGGAAUCUUGCGCAAUGGGCGAAAGCCUGACGCAGCCAUGCCGCGUGAAUGAUGAAGGUCUUAGGAUUGUAAAAUUCUUUCACCGGGGACGAUAAUGACAGUACCCGGAGAAGAAGCCCCGGCUAACUUCGUG
RNAcentral lists this ribosomal RNA (434 nucleotides) under uncultured bacterium. RNAcentral's name for it is "partial 16S ribosomal RNA". It matches the Rfam family "Bacterial small subunit ribosomal RNA", at positions 29 to 507 of the family's 1533-position model. The record is from RNAcentral.